UUACUUCAGCUGUCACAGAGUUUGCGGG
RNAcentral lists this small RNA (28 nucleotides) under Bombyx mori (domestic silkworm). Its description in RNAcentral is "ovarian small RNA-36664". Lineage: Eukaryota; Metazoa; Arthropoda; Insecta; Lepidoptera; Bombycidae. The record is from RNAcentral.